AGACAUUUCUUCAUCUUUCUCAGCCAGAAACGUCGUAGCAGGUCUCUUAUGCUGGUUUUUCAUAUUUUUUCACCAUUUUUGACAAGCCAGCUCGGAAAUCAGGAACGGUCGGAGGCUCGCUCAUAUUAUCCGUGUAUCAUCUUGGCAUAACGGCUUGUAUAUUUUGAGCAUGGCAUGUAUAGCAUUAUAAUCAUUUUGUAUAUAUAGUCUUAUGACAUGGUUAUUGAGUGGUAUGGAAAUGCUUGAUAAUGAUUAGCUGUUGGAAUGGCUAAUCAAGGACAUAUUUGGUGUUAUGUAUGCCUAAAUGCUAAUUAUUCCAUGGAAAUCAUGAAAUAGGUAAAAUUUACCAUAAAA
Molecule: long non-coding RNA, 354 nt
Organism: Gossypium arboreum
Lineage: Eukaryota; Viridiplantae; Streptophyta; Magnoliopsida; Malvales; Malvaceae
Exons: 2
Source: RefSeq, a predicted model, not a curated record